This 2013-nucleotide ribosomal RNA is filed under the name Austrokallymenia rosea. RNAcentral's name for it is "eukaryotic LSU rRNA". It matches the Rfam family "Eukaryotic large subunit ribosomal RNA", at positions 51 to 2191 of the family's 3401-position model. Lineage: Eukaryota; Rhodophyta; Florideophyceae; Gigartinales; Kallymeniaceae. The record is from RNAcentral.
CGGAGGAAAAGAAACUAACAAGGAUUCCCCUAGUAGCGGCGAGCGAAGCGGGAAGAGCCCAAAAUGAAAAGCCUGCUUGCAGGCGUUGUAUUUGGGCGCUCUUGGGGUGUCAGUGCGGGCAAGUUGUAUGGAAAUACAUGCCGUGGAGGGUGAGAGUCCCGUCCAACCUGCACAGGACAGUCUUGUCAAGAGCGUCUCUGACGAGUCGGGUAGCUUGGGAAUGCUGCUCUAAUUGGUGGUAAAUCUCAUCAAAGGCUAAAUAAUGACCGGAAACCGAUAGCGAACAAGUACCGUGAGGGAAAGAUGACAAGCACUUUGAAAAGAGGGUGAAAAGAACCUGAAACCGUCAUGGGGGAAGCGGAUUGCGUUAAGGAAAAGGGAAUGUUGCGUGUUCAGCCGGUAACACGGUGCAUUGGCGCAGCGGACCGAUCUGUCGUGAGUUUUGSACGGUUGAUGUUGAACCGUGCAGGGCUGAGGGCUCCCUUUGAAAAGGUUGAGGACGAUGGAUAUUGACGCGAACCGACCCGUCUUGAAACACGGACCAAGGAGUCUAGCGCGACUGCGAGUCAGAGGGUGCAAGCCUGAGGGCGUAGUGAAAGCGAUUGUGAAAACAACAGUUUGGGGCGGCAUGAGAUUGUCAAUUUCAAGUCCGACCUUGAGCAGUUGCGCUGGGACCCGAAAGAUGGUGAACUAUGCCGGAGUAGGGCAAAGCCAGAGGAAACUCUGGUGGAGGCUCGUAGCGGUGCUGACGUGCAAAUCGCUCGUCCGACUUUGGUAUAGGGGCGAAAGACUAAUCGAACCAUCUAGUAGCUGGUUCCCUCCGAAGUUUCUCUCAGGAUAGCGGGCCGACGGGUGUUGUUUUGUGUGGUAAAGCGAAUGAUUAGCGCACUCGGGGGCAGACUGCCUUUGGGCGAUUCUCAAACUUUCAAUACGCAAGGGUGCCGCUGCUUGGUUGAGCGGCACCGGCAAAAACGUCGGCCCUGUGGGCCACUUUUGGUAAGCAGAACUGGCGAUACGGGAUGAACCGUAAGCGUGGUUAAGGCGCCCAAGUGCCCGCUUAUAGACCCCACAAAAGGUGUUGAUUCAUCGAGACAGCAGGACGGUGGCCAUGGAAGUCGGAAUCCGCCAAGGAGUGUGUAACAACUCACCUGCCGAAUGAAUUAGCCCUGAAAAUGGAUGGCGCUCAAGCGGGCGGCCGACACCACGCCGUCUGGACAAGAAAUGAUUCAGAUGAGUAGGAGGGCGUGGCGGUUGUUUCGAAGCGCCUGUGCAAACGGGUGUGGAACGGCUGCUAGUGCAGAUCUUGGUGGUAGUAGCAAGUAUUCAAGCGAGAUCCUUGAAGGGCGAAGCGGGGAAGGGUUCCACGCGAACAUUGAUUGGGCGUGGGUGAGUCGUUCCUAAGCCGAGUGGCAAUUGCUAAGUAGCGGCGAAAGGGAAGCGGGUUGAAAUUCCCGCACACGGAUGUGGAGGCGGUGACGCACGUUGGGACAAACACGUUGGCGAUGGCGCUGGGCAGAGUUGUCUUUUCUGUUUGACCUGUGGUGCGCUGUGUGGAAUCCGAUUGUCGGGAGAAACACGCGUGUUUGGGCAGAGCGCCGGGGUUUUUCCGGCGUCCAGCUCGCCAUCGACGACCCUUGAAACUUUGUCUGCUGAAUAAAUCCACGCCGUGGCGUACCGAUUACCGCAUCAGGUCCCCAAGGUGAACAGCCUCUGCUCAAUAUGAACAAUGCAGGUAAGGGAAGUCGGCAAAUUAGACCCCUAACUUUGGGAUAAGGGUUGGCUCUAGUGCUGCGUGGGAGUGGUUGCCGGGUGUUGGGGCGGUGGGUGAGGCGGACUGGCGCGGGAUUUGCCCAAUGUUUGUUUGGGUGAGACUUGUUCCGGCUGCUUUGCCCGCUGUUUCACGGCUGGCGACGCCCACAGCAUGCAGCAGACUAGAACUGCAACGGGCAAAGGGAAUCCGACUGUUUAAUUAAAACAAAGCAUUGCGAGGGCCGUGGCCGGUGAUGACGCAAU